This 163-nucleotide small RNA is filed under the name Hafnia alvei ATCC 51873. Its description in RNAcentral is "RtT RNA". The stretch from base 37 to 163 matches the Rfam family "RtT RNA". From Rfam's summary of the family: This family represents a bacterial cis-regulatory element known as RtT RNA. The exact function of RtT is unknown although it is thought that it may be involved in changing the cellular response in relation to amino acid starvation. The record is from RNAcentral. Lineage: Bacteria; Pseudomonadati; Pseudomonadota; Gammaproteobacteria; Enterobacterales; Hafniaceae.
CUUGUAGCAGUGCAAUCCCAUACAAACACAGAAAUCGCAUAUUCCCCAUGGGGAAGGCCGAGAACCUUCGAUAAGGUUCGAGUUGAGCGCAGCGAAACAACGUCGCUUGCGACGGCCCGCAGGGCGAAGAGCGUAGCGAUGAGUUAUCCUUCCCCCACCACCA